Long non-coding RNA from Spea bombifrons (plains spadefoot toad), 857 nucleotides. RefSeq lists it as uncharacterized. The transcript has 5 exons. NCBI's taxonomy places the organism in Eukaryota, Metazoa, Chordata, Amphibia, Anura, Pelobatidae. The record is from RefSeq and is a predicted model, not a curated record.
AUACACAGUGUGUUUGUCAUGCACUGUAUGGUAUCUGCACCCAGUGGCCUUUUCCCGUUGAGGUGUUCAUUAAACAGUGCAACACUAACUCUGCGACUGGCAUCGUUGGUUUGCAGGCCUUUCGUGUUUGUAAACCUGGUUUUUAUGCAGAAACAGUAGUAGAAUAAUAUGCCUAGACAUUGUUUACAUCUCUUUACCUUUUCUUAGGUGACUUUUUUGCAUGUAAUGGAAGCGCAGGCGGAUGCUUAUUUCUGCAAAGUGAAUCCAACAUAUUGGCGUAAUUUACUGGUAAGCAUAUGAGUGACUAUCUUGUCUAUUGAGGUCUAUCCCGAUGGGUCUUUGAUGUAAGGCCAUAUCGUUGGAAACGCCUCAAAAAUUAAGCUUGCAGAUUAAUGGUACCUGCUAUAAAUGCAUUUAUAGCAGACAUUACUGCAUAACAUUUACAUUAUUAAAAAAAUAAUGUAGCUUACAGUGUGCACUCUCUCAUUCUAGGAAAUGAGGAAUUAAUCCAGAUUUUGAUGGAUGGCUGCUACAGUGAGGUCAGAUGAAAGUGUUAGAAUCUCCUGUAGUGGAUUUUUGGAUCAGGGAUAACCAUUUAUCUGAAGAUGGCACUUUCUACUGUUGGUUAAAGAGAAGCAGAUCAAAGAUGUAAAGGAGGCAAAGAAGUUGAAGUCCAACCUGGAAAAGCAUAUAAGAUGUUCAUACUGAAGACGCUACCUUAACCUGUAUCUCCAGCUACCCUAAAUAAAACUUAAUAAACUAUGUAUCCUAAGGAUCUGUGUAUUUAUUACAUUGCAAGUCAGGGCUUCUACCGUGCAGUGCCCUUAAUCAUGGUUUUGUUUUUAAAUAGUUAUGUA